GAGACACUAGCUCAGCCGGUAGAGCACCGCCCUUUUAAGGCGGGUGUCGAGGGUUCGAAUCCCUCGUGUCUCA
RNAcentral lists this transfer RNA (73 nucleotides) under Ruminococcus sp. Its description in RNAcentral is "tRNA-Lys". It matches the Rfam family "tRNA". Rfam says of the family: Transfer RNA (tRNA) molecules are approximately 80 nucleotides in length. Lineage: Bacteria; Bacillati; Bacillota; Clostridia; Eubacteriales; Oscillospiraceae. RNAcentral also lists the same sequence under 2 other names. The record is from RNAcentral.